RNAcentral lists this ribosomal RNA (307 nucleotides) under uncultured bacterium. Its description in RNAcentral is "partial 16S ribosomal RNA". It matches the Rfam family "Bacterial small subunit ribosomal RNA", at positions 506 to 808 of the family's 1533-position model. The record is from RNAcentral.
AGACAGCAGCAGCCACGGUAAUACGGAGGGGGCAAGCGUUAUCCGGAAUUAUUGGGCGUAAAGGGCACGUAGGUGGCCUUUUAAGCGUAGGGUAUAAGGCAAUGGCUCAACCAUUGUUCGCCCUAUGAGCUGGAAGGCUUGAGUGCAGGAGAGGAAAGCGGAAUUCCUAGUGUAGAGGUGGAAUGCAUAGAUAUUAGGAGGAACAUCAGCGGCGAAGGCGGCUUUCUGGACUGCAACUGACACUGAGGUACGAAAGCGUGGGGAGCAAACAGGAUUAGAUACCCCCGUAGUCCCUGUCUCUUAUACA